UUGGACAAUGGGGGAAACCCUGAUCCAGCAAUGCCGCGUGAGUGAAGAAGGCCUUAGGGUCGUAAAGCUCUUUCGCCCGCGAAGAUAAUGACGGUAGCGGGAGAAGAAGCUCCGGCUAACUCCGUGCCAGCGGCCGCGGUAAUACGGAGGGGGCUAGCGUUGUUCGGAAUUACUGGGCGUAAAGCGUACGUAGGCGGAUGCGCAAGUUGGGGGUGAAAUCCCGGGGCUUAACCUCGGAAUUGCCCUCAAAACUGCACGAAUUAAGACCGAGGGAGGUAAGGGGAAUGCCUAGUGUAGAG
This 299-nucleotide ribosomal RNA is filed under the name uncultured bacterium. RNAcentral describes it as "partial 16S ribosomal RNA". It matches the Rfam family "Bacterial small subunit ribosomal RNA", at positions 364 to 680 of the family's 1533-position model. The record is from RNAcentral.